This 85-nucleotide transfer RNA is filed under the name Alphaproteobacteria bacterium. RNAcentral's name for it is "tRNA-Leu". It matches the Rfam family "tRNA". From Rfam's summary of the family: Transfer RNA (tRNA) molecules are approximately 80 nucleotides in length. Lineage: Bacteria; Pseudomonadati; Pseudomonadota; Alphaproteobacteria. The record is from RNAcentral.
GCGGUCGUGGCGGAAUUGGUAGACGCGCUGCCUUGAGGUGGCAGUGAGUAACAUCGUGGAGGUUCGAGUCCUCUCGACCGCACCA